Molecule: ribosomal RNA, 256 nt
Filed under: uncultured soil bacterium
Lineage: Bacteria
Description: partial 16S ribosomal RNA
Rfam family: Bacterial small subunit ribosomal RNA
Source: RNAcentral
UCCUUCCAGUGUCGCAGCUAACGCAUUAAGUUCUCCGCCUGGGGAGUACGGCCGCAAGGUUAAAACUCAAAGGAAUUGACGGGGGCCCGCACAAGCGGUGGAGCAUGUGGUUCAAUUCGAUGCAAAGCGAAAAACCUUACCUACGCUUGACAUGCCAGGAAUCUACACAGAUGCGGGGGUGACUUCUGGAGCCUGGACCCAGGUGCUGUAUUGCUGUCCUCUCCUCAUCUCGUGACAUGUUGGGUUAGGUCCCGUC